Molecule: unclassified non-coding RNA, 203 nt
Filed under: root metagenome
Description: partial contains small subunit ribosomal RNA, internal transcribed spacer 1, and 5.8S ribosomal RNA
Source: RNAcentral
UCUCCGUUGGUGAACCAGCGGAGGGAUCAUUACAGAGUUGCGAAACUCCCUAAACCAUUUGUGAACCUACCCCCAAAACAGUUGCUUCGGCGGCGCCCUAGCCGGCCCGCCGGAGACCGCCAAACGCUUUGUUAAUUUUUGUCAAAUCUGAAUCAAAACUAAGAAAUAAGUUAAAACUUUCAACAACGGAUCUCUUGGUUCUG